RNAcentral lists this long non-coding RNA (851 nucleotides) under Salvia miltiorrhiza (redroot sage). Its description in RNAcentral is "long non-coding RNA (SMIL_LNC001834)". Lineage: Eukaryota; Viridiplantae; Streptophyta; Magnoliopsida; Lamiales; Lamiaceae. The record is from RNAcentral.
AGGUCAAGCGCGAGAGUAAGAACUAUUCAAGAAGUCACAGUACUUAGCAAAACUUUGCGAUCAGGUGGGCAAUUUCUUACGCGUAAAUAAAAUGCUAUGCAAGUAUUAUGCUUUAAAAUGCAAAUUGGAUUUUCAAGCGUGGUAUGCUUUAUUACGCUUAAAUGAGUUAAGCUUUAUUAUGCUUUACGCUAAAUAAUUUACGCUUGAUUAUGCUUAUUUACGCUUGAAUGCUUUACACUGAUAAGUUUAUGCUUAUGUUUGAUGCUUGCGUCUGUUGGGGGAGGCCUCUCUCAACAGUACGAUGCCGUGUCCGCUGAGGAGGGCCUUCCUCACGGCGCGAUGCCCGUGUCCGCUGAGAGAGGCCUCUCUCGCGGCGCGAUGCCAGUAUGCCAGUAUGCCAGUGUUACAGCGUCUAUUGGGGGAGGCCUCCCUCAAUAGUACGAUGCCAUGACCGCUGAGGGAGGCCCCCUUCACGGCGCGAUGCCCGUGUUCGUUGGGGAAGGCCUUCUCCACGACACGAUGCUUGUUAUGAUUGUUGAUGAUGAAGAAUGCGCUCAUGCUAUUUAUGAAUUUGGAAAUGUUUAAUGAGCAAAGGAUUUGAAAGAAACUUAUGCCUCUUAUGCGAUGUUGUGUUUGUGUUGAUGUUAUGUUAUAUGAUUGGCAACUGCCCACUAAGUACUCUUGUACUUAGCCCUUCGAUGUUUAUGAUUGUGCAGGUUGAGCUGUGAUGGGCGAUGAAGUGUUGCUGAGUGGAGUUUUUGUCGAACUUAAAGUAGGCUCAGAAAGGAUACAUGUCUUCAUACAUGUAUCUCAGUUAUGCAUUCCGCUGUAAACACUGAUUAUUUCAGUCA